Molecule: ribosomal RNA, 447 nt
Filed under: uncultured bacterium
Lineage: Bacteria
Description: bacterial SSU rRNA
Rfam family: Bacterial small subunit ribosomal RNA
Source: RNAcentral
UCCAGACUCCUACGGGAGGCAGCAGUGGGGAAUAUUGCACAAUGGGGGAAACCCUGAUGCAGCGACGCCGCGUGAGCGAUGAAGUAUUUCGGUAUGUAAAGCUCUAUCAGCAGGGAAGAAAAUGACGGUACCUGACUAAGAAGCCCCGGCUAACUACGUGCCAGCAGCCGCGGUAAUACGUAGGGGGCAAGCGUUAUCCGGAUUUACUGGGUGUAAAGGGAGCGUAGACGGUGAAGCAAGUCUGAAGUGAAAGGCGGGGGCUCAACCCCCGGACUGCUUUGGAAACUGUUUGACUGGAGUGCAGGAGAGGUAAGUGGAAUUCCUAGUGUAGCGGUGAAAUGCGUAGAUAUUAGGAGGAACACCAGUGGCGAAGGCGGCUUACUGGACUGUAACUGACGUUGAGGCUCGAAAGCGUGGGGAGCAAACAGGAUUAGAUACCCUGGUACA